AAGAAUAUAAUAUACAUAAUAUAUACAGUACUAGUGAGAGUUCGAAGCUCUCUAUUCUUA
RNAcentral lists this transfer RNA (60 nucleotides) under Edenia gomezpompae. RNAcentral describes it as "tRNA-Tyr". Lineage: Eukaryota; Fungi; Ascomycota; Dothideomycetes; Pleosporales; Pleosporaceae. The record is from RNAcentral.